CCUGAACCUCUGACUAGUGGAAAACUACUCUCCAAACCUGGUUUAGCCUUCCAACAAACUGUGGAAGUAUGUCUUUGUAGUAUUACUAAGUGGACCCCAAAAAUCUACACCUCUACCUCAGCCCUCCAGGAAGACCUGAACCUCUGACUAGUGGAAAACUACUCUCCAAACCUGGUUUAGCCUUCCAACAAACUGUGGAAGUAUGUCUUUGUAGUAUUACUAAGUGGACCCCAAAAAUCUACACCUCUACCUCAGCCCUCCAGGAAGACCUGAACCUCUGACUAGUGGAAAACUACUCUCCAAACCUGGUUUAGCCUUCCAACAAACUGUGGAAGUAUG
Molecule: long non-coding RNA, 339 nt
Organism: Protopterus annectens (West African lungfish)
Lineage: Eukaryota; Metazoa; Chordata; Ceratodontiformes; Protopteridae
Exons: 3
Source: RefSeq, a predicted model, not a curated record